CCUACGGGUGGCAGCAGUGAGGAAUAUUGGUCAAUGGGCGCGAGCCUGAACCAGCGAAGUCGCGUGAGGGAAGACGGUCCUAUGGAUUGUAAACCUCUUUAGUCGGGGAGCAAAAGACGACACGCGAGGUGUUCCGAGCGUACCCGAAGAUAUAGGAUCGGCUAACCCCGUGCCAGCAGCGGCGGUAAUACGGAGGAUGCGAGCGUUAUCUGGAUUUAUUGGGUUUAAGGGGUGCGCAGGCGGAAGGUCAAGUCAGCGGUAAAAUUGAGGGGCUCAACCUCUGCGCGCCUUUGAUACUGGUUAACUUGAGUGAGUGAGAGGUAAGCGGAAUGCGUGGUGUAGCGGUGAAAUGCAUAGAUAUCACGCAGAACACCGAUGGCGAAGGCAGCUUACCGGGGCUCAACUGACGCUGAGGCACGAAAGUGUGGGUAUCGAACAGGAUUAGAUACCCCUGUAGUC
This 459-nucleotide ribosomal RNA is filed under the name uncultured bacterium. RNAcentral describes it as "partial 16S ribosomal RNA". It matches the Rfam family "Bacterial small subunit ribosomal RNA", at positions 338 to 795 of the family's 1533-position model. The record is from RNAcentral.